RNAcentral lists this ribosomal RNA (378 nucleotides) under uncultured organism. RNAcentral's name for it is "bacterial LSU rRNA". It matches the Rfam family "Bacterial large subunit ribosomal RNA", at positions 2107 to 2486 of the family's 2925-position model. The record is from RNAcentral.
CUACUUGCAAUGAAUUGGACUUUAUUUGCGCAGUAUAGGUGGGAGGCUUUGAGUAAAUUCUUGCGGGAAUUUAGGAGCCAUCAGUGAGAUACCACUCUGGUAAUGUUAGAUUUCUAACUUUGCAUCAUAAUCUGGUCAAAGAACAGUUUCAGGCGGGCAGUUUGACUGGGGCGGUCGCCUCCCAAAGGGUAACGGAGGCGUACAAAGGUUUCCUCUGAACGUGUAGAAAUCGUAUCUAGAGUGUAAAGGCAUAAGGAAGCUUGACUGUGAGACCUACAAGUCGAGCAGGGACGAAAGUCGGUCUUAGUGAUCUGACGGUGCUGAGUGGAAAGGCCGUCACUCAACGGAUAAAAGUUACUCUAGGGAAACCAGGCUGAA